This is a long non-coding RNA of Temnothorax curvispinosus, 714 nucleotides long. RefSeq lists it as uncharacterized. The record is from RefSeq and is a predicted model, not a curated record. Lineage: Eukaryota; Metazoa; Arthropoda; Insecta; Hymenoptera; Formicidae. The transcript is spliced from 5 exons.
UUGCGGAUUGAAUGAAACGGAUAAUGUGUCCCAAGUUUUUGUGUGUACACGUCAUUUCCAUUUACACCAUUACAAUGUCGCAAAUAAAAAGAUAAGGUUACUUUCUGUAGCUGUACCUAGCACAGUUAUUUUAAGUCCUGAAGCAGAGGUUGAAAAGAUUUGUUCUCUUCCACCAAAGAAAAAUUCAACGGACAUUACCUAUGAUAAUCACUGCAUUGUUCAAUCGGACGAAAUAAUACAACCAUGUAUUCAGAGCGACAAUAUUGAAUCCAGCAUUGUUUUGGAUUACGUCGAAAACAUCUGUGAUUCUCAAUGUUACAAUGGUUUUGAAGAAUUAACACCUAAGAAAGGCCGUCGUGUUUUACACAGCCUCGAUACGUUUCCGAAAUUAAAUUGUCUGAUUUUGCUACUCCUCGAAAAGCUAAAAUGACAUUAAACUUUGUAAAGUCUAUGGAUGUUAAAAAGUCUAAAACUAUUGCACAACUAAAAGCCGCAAAUAGGAAACAAGCUAAACAGAUUGCUAACAUGAAACAGAUGUUGUCUCAUCUUCAGAAAAAAGAAGUGAUCUUAGAAGGUCCUAAGAAUACACAAUAAAGUAGAAUGGAUGUAAAUCUUGUGCAUCAAAAAAGCAAAUAGAAGUUUUGCUCCAACAGUUUUUUGUUUGACAUUAAAGUAAACGAAAAAAGGAACAGAGAAAAAAAUUGAAUGACAAUU